RNAcentral lists this ribosomal RNA (401 nucleotides) under uncultured bacterium. RNAcentral's name for it is "partial 16S ribosomal RNA". It matches the Rfam family "Bacterial small subunit ribosomal RNA", at positions 360 to 773 of the family's 1533-position model. The record is from RNAcentral.
AAUAUGGGACAAUGGGCGAAAGCCUGAUCCAGCAACGCCGCGUGAGGGAUGACUGCCNNNGGGUUNUCAACCUCUUUCAGUAGNGACNAAGCGCAAGUGACGGUACCUACAGAAGAAGCACCGGCCAACUACGUGCCAGCAGCCGCGGUAAUACGUAGGGUGCGAGCGUUGUCCGGAAUUAUUGGGCGUAAAGGGCUCGUAGGCGGUUUGUCGCGUCGGGAGUGAAAACUCAGGGCUUAACCCUGAGCCUGCUUCCGAUACGGGCAGACUAGAGGUAUGCAGGGGAGAACGGAAUUCCUGGUGUAGCGGUGAAAUGCGCAGAUAUCAGGAGGAACACCGGUGGCGAAGGCGGUUCUCUGGGCAUUACCUGACGCUGAGGAGCGAAAGUGUGGGGAGCGAAC